RNAcentral lists this long non-coding RNA (1361 nucleotides) under Homo sapiens (human). RNAcentral describes it as "HSALNT0241707". The record is from RNAcentral. Lineage: Eukaryota; Metazoa; Chordata; Mammalia; Primates; Hominidae.
AAAACUUACCUGCAGCUUUAGGAAUUGUCAAUAUAUCGGAUAAUUUAGUCAUAAAUUCUUGAAUGCUAACCUUGCCACUUUCUGUAAGGCAAAGCAUAAUUUACUUAAAAGAAAGAAUUAUUGUUUCAGAAUUAAAUAAUAUAGCUGAAGCUAAUAGUCAAAUUAUAACAGAAGUUAAAAGCUUGAGAGUAAGGCUGGGCUAUUUCUUCUCCCUUACCUCUUGCAUGCAUAUGAUUAUCAAUUUCUGCUCAUUUUAUUUCCAAAUACUUCUUGAAUUUACUACUGCAUUAACUAAUACCUUUAUUAUUACAAUGGCAUCUUUAAAAACCUAUGCCACCAGUCUCAUCUUCUAUUUAUUUUCCACAGUAUGUCAAGGGAUGUAUUCCUCUUUAAAAAAAUUGAUUAUUCCCAUGCAUAAAACCCUUCAGUAGCUCCUAAUUGCCUACAAAACUACAGAAUAAAUAUAAUACUGAGGAGGUGAGGGAGGGAAAUUAUAGACCAAUAUUACUCAUACAUGUGUUAAAGUAUAAGUAAAAUACUACUUAUAGGAUUCGGCAGUACAACAAUGAAAAAAAAAUUCAAGAUACUUUCAGAACAUACAUUCUCAUUGAGAGUGAUACUGCUCUCAAGGGGUAAAACUGGUUCUUAGGAGAAAAAAAAAAUCUCAGAUAUUACAAUAGUUUCUGGCCAUAGUACUUAAACAGAUAUAUGGUAUAUCUGUGGUAUUAAAUUUUCAUGGGGGUGGGGGAUAAUUAGGAACUAAAAUGUCUAUAAAGGCUUCUUAGGGGAGCAAGAGAAAAAAAGGUUAGAAACACUGCUUUAGUAUGACAGUAGACACAUAAAUUUAAUCUCUCCACGUGGUCUCCAAAAAUCCAUACAAAUUAACAAGUAAGGCAAGUAAAAUAACCUAUAGUCCAUGCCUACAGUGUAACUAAGAGGCAGAAUAUUAAACAUUUGUAUUUGCAUAUAAGUCAGGAAAUAAAAAUUUAGGACCAGCGCAGUCAGCUUCAGAGCCUACACCAAAGAGGAAACUCAGGCCAGACAUGGUGGCUCAUGCCUGUAAUCUCAGCACUUUGGGAGGCUGAGAUGGGCAGAUCACUUAAGGUCAGGAGUUCCAAACCAGCCAGGCCAACAUGGUGAAACCCCGUCUCUACUGAAAAUACAAAAAUUAGCCAGGGGUGGUGGCAGGAGCCUGUAAUCCCAGCUACUCGGGAGGCUGAGGCAGAAGAAUCGCUUGCACCUUCAAGGCGGAGGUUGCAGUGAGCCGAGAAUGUGCCACUGCACUCCAGCCUGAGCGACAGAGCAAGAAUCUGUCUAAAAAAAAAAAAAAAAAAAAAAAACAAAACAAAGAGGAAACUCAG